AUUGAACGCUGGCGGCAUGCUUUACACAUGCAAGUCGAACGGCAGCGGGGGCUUCGGCCUGCCGGCGAGUGGCGAACGGGUGAGUAAUGCAUCGGAACGUGCCCAUGUCGUGGGGGAUAACGUAGCGAAAGCUACGCUAAUACCGUAUACGCCCUGAGGGGGAAACGGGGGAUUCUUCGGAGCCUCGCGCGAUUGGAGCGGCCGAUGUCGGAUUAGCUAGUAGGUGAGGUAAAGGCUCACCUAGGCGACGAUCCGUAGCGGGUCUGAGAGGAUGAUCCGCCACACUGGGACUGAGACACGGCCCAGACUCCUACGGGAGGCAGCAGUGAGGAAUAUUGGACAAUGGGGGCAACCCUGAUCCAGCCAUGCCGCGUGUGUGAAGAAGGCCU
This 389-nucleotide ribosomal RNA is filed under the name uncultured bacterium. RNAcentral describes it as "bacterial SSU rRNA". It matches the Rfam family "Bacterial small subunit ribosomal RNA", at positions 28 to 417 of the family's 1533-position model. The record is from RNAcentral.